Dermochelys coriacea (leatherback sea turtle) is the source of this 2540-nucleotide long non-coding RNA. RefSeq lists it as uncharacterized. The transcript is spliced from 5 exons. NCBI's taxonomy places the organism in Eukaryota, Metazoa, Chordata, Testudines, Dermochelyidae. The record is from RefSeq and is a predicted model, not a curated record.
ACUAUGGAAGUUGUAGACCUCACAGCAAGGAAUGCUGGGAAGGGAAGCUGUGUGUGUGUAUAUAUGAGCUCCCUUUUUGUCAUUUGAGAAACAAACCUGGAGGGAAAUGAUCUUUCAUAUCCUUUGAUAGGGACUAUAGAGCUGUUUCUGAAGCUGCCCAAAAGAGGGGGAUCAGCAAGAAAAUUCUGGAAAGGGAUAAUUUUCUAUUCUGGAACUGCUAAUGGGGGAUUCUAGAAAGGGGCUAACCCCAGGAGUUGGUUGAGGGAAGAGGUACUGGGCAACGAAACCAAGAAGAGCUUGCAGGACUGGAUCAAUAUUUACUUCUUCUCUUGGGGCCUGGAGUCUGAACUUCUGCUAGAGGAUGUGAAGAAGCUUCCUUUUGUUUCCCUUUAAUUGAGAGACCACUAGAGAGCACUGUUCUUACAGCUCAGAGAGGAAAAGUUGGUCUUUCCUUUUUGUGGAAGAACUGGAUUUUUUUUUAAAUUUACCUCAAGGUCUAAAUUACCCAACCAGUCAGAAGGAUACUGAGGUGGCAGCUAAAUCGAACAACAGAAAGGCCAUCAGCCAGCAACUGACUCGGAUGAGAAAGAAAUGCUCCUUAUGGAUCAUUAUAGUAUCAUCACUGGAAGCCAACUAUUUGAACAUUAUGAAAAGAUUUUACAAAGAGGAUGGGAAGCAUUAAGCAAUACCUGAGACUAGCUAUCUCCAGGACUAGAACCACAAGCUAUGGCCAAAGAGAACAGUAGGCUCUUUCACUUCCAACCCCAACAAGAAGGAAAAGGAGCCAGAAAUCAGGCCUUGUCUGUACUUCAGGAAGGCACCUUGGCAUUGGGUUAUGGAACCUGGCCAAGAAGGUGACCAGGAGCUGGUAUAAUAUCCCAGAAAAGAUCAUGUCUGAGAAGAACAAGGGUUUGACUUUUCACAUAUGGCUCAGGAAGGGCAGGGUGCCAAGGUGCUCCCUUGAUCAUGGGCUGCUAUGUACUGGACUGGUCCCUUGGUGUAACUUAGAGCAGCCUCUGGCGGUGCAAGCUGCAAACAGUCUCCAGGAUAUGAUGCAGCAGUUUGAGAUCAGUGAGGGGACCUGAGUUGUCCCUUUCUGCCAGCCCUGCACACUGGGUGAGCCUCUGGAGUUCUCUUUGUUGCUCCAUGCCCAGAUUCUGUUGGAGCUGUGGUGCAAAGCGGCUACACUGUACCUUUGUGCCAGUACCUCUUUGUUGAGCAAGACUACCUGAAAAGACAAGACUACCUUGCACAGUAGUGAAGUACUACUAAAAUUAUUGAUUAGAGUGAUUGGACUUACAAAAGAGUAACCAACAAAUCAUUACACUUUCUUUGGGAGGGGAGCAGGAAAUGGAGUAUUGGAGAGCAUUGAGGUAGGGCAUAUACUCCCAAAGAACAUGUACUUGUGCAUGUAUCAAUGGGGUAAGCAGAAAUUUGGGUCAGCUGAACUGGUACUUGAAAAGGAAUUUGCUUUGUAUUAUUAAUGAGAGGCUCUUCACAGAGGGGAAUUUUGUCUUGAUCUCUUUAUUUUAGGUAUUGCUAAGACUCCAAUAAUCAUGGUAUCUACACACCAGAUCCUCCUGUACUCUUUUCUCUCUCUGCCACCCAGCCCAGUUUUCUUUUGUGUCUUCCCUCCCCCAUUUGUCAUUCUCUUCUGCUUGUUCUAUCUCUUUUGCCACAUCCAUUGCCUCUUUGCCUUUCCUCACUUACUAUCCUCAUGUUAUUCUAUUCACUGUGUAUUGUUUCCUUAUCCUACCUUCCUCAUCUUCUUUCACCCCUCCCUUCUUCCUUUCCCAGGUGCUACUGGUUGGUCCCCUAUAGCUACAUAUAUUUAUGUUGCCCCCUUUGUUCUAGAGGUUUGCUCUUUUGGCUUUUGCUGUUGGCUCUUUAAUCCCUGUCUCAUGAUCUCCAGCCUCUCUAUUUCACCACCUUCCUCCAUUCUCUCUUUCUCAACAAAGAGCAAAGGGCCCCAGAAGUCAGUACACAAAGCUUCAAGAAGCAAGUAGCUAGUAGCAGAGGCAGAAGCUUAGGGGGUCUGCUAUGUUUUUUUUAAUUGUGUGUCAGAGUAUUUGGCUCCCACUUGAUUGGGGAGAAAUGAGUAUGAGGGGGCAACUGUGCCAUUCUAUAUGUUGCAUAGGCCUUACAUUAACUCUGGGAUUAAGUUCGAGAUUUGUGUUUCAUAUAAUUCUCAUGUGUUGUUGUUAGUCCUUCCUUCCUUAUUAGAUAAUGAUCAUCAGUGCCAUCUCCCUAUUCUGAUCAUUUCUUGAAUGCUUACAGUGUCACCACUUCAUUUCAAGGCUUGUCCAGAGAACUUUUAUCUAUUCAUUAGAUUUUUCUUUUAUGCCUUUUCUUCAAGCCACACAUUUUCCCCCCUUCUGAUCUCUACGUACAUAAUUCACUUUCUUUGACUGUGUCUCUGUUCCUCUUAGGAAAAAACUAUCUCCAUUUUAUAUGUGACUUGUAUUUAAAAACAUUUUGUUUUUUACUCCACAUUCAAUAUUUUGUACUCCACAUUCAGUACUAAUUCAUGGUUUGUUUAA